GAUAGAUAUAAGAAGAUGUGGUAUGAGUGCCAAUGAGACAACUCUCUGUCCAAGUCACAAUAUGUAACAGUAAACCAUUAUAGGUCUUCAACAGGGAGCCUUAGCUCACACUGAACAGCAAGCUAUAAAUGACCCCAAACAUGACUAGUGUAAAACUCAUGAAAGGUAUAAAUUAAUUUACAAGAAGAAUGAAAUACAGAUUUAUAGUGUGUGUUAACCUUGC
Molecule: long non-coding RNA, 223 nt
Filed under: Mytilus galloprovincialis (Mediterranean mussel)
Lineage: Eukaryota; Metazoa; Mollusca; Bivalvia; Mytilida; Mytilidae
Source: RNAcentral